Non-coding RNA from Podarcis lilfordi (Lilford's wall lizard), 74 nucleotides. The record is from the annotation of a GenBank genome assembly. Lineage: Eukaryota; Metazoa; Chordata; Lepidosauria; Squamata; Lacertidae.
GGAGCUGUGGCUCAGUGGUUAGAGCAUCUGCUUUGCAUGCACAAGCCCCCACGUUUGAUUCCCCAGCAUCUCCA